Molecule: long non-coding RNA, 1239 nt
Filed under: Homo sapiens (human)
Lineage: Eukaryota; Metazoa; Chordata; Mammalia; Primates; Hominidae
Description: HSALNT0323361
Source: RNAcentral
AUUGUGGCCUGGGUGCUGGACUUUUCAUAUUAAGUCCUGUCUUAGCCAAGGGAGAAGAAUGUAAGGAUAAGACCACCAAUAUCACAGGGGCUGUCUGAGCCUUUACCUGUGAUUUUCUACCACUCUGUGGCCUUCUGGAGCAAUGGACAACCAAGUCAGCUAUGCAGUUCAUAAAAGUGGACCUGGUUAUAUGUCAUCCAACAGCAUAUGGUCCCUGCAAGCCUGUUUGGAAGCCAAUAUUCUAUAACCUACAGGAAUCCACUGAAUCUGAUGUCUUUGGAAGCAAUAUAUUUUCCAGGGUUCCAAUGGACUACGGAAUAAGGCAACACAGGGCCUGUUUUCCCGCAGUGUCCUCUGCUCCAAGGAACUUUCUUAAGGAAGCGGGACGUGUCAAUGAGGUACCUCCCGGGGUUCUACAGUUCCUCCUGCCCACUGGCCAGGGGGAAUCUGGCGGGAGCCUCUCGGUGGAUGCUGUCACAUGACUGUGCCUUCUGAAAGAACAUCUGUGAAGAGCAGUUUCUGGUGUCCCUGAGUAACCCUUUUCUAACAAUUCAGCCAGUGUAUUUCCUCCAAGAGUAGAAAACACUGGCUUGGAAAAUCUAGUGAAUUUUCAGCUUCUUGUGAAUGUGUAUGAACAAACCAACCUACUCGGUCUGUGAAAUUCUCGCUAAUUCAGAUGGGACAUGGGCAAGGCUUCUAAUACUUUCAUCCCAUGAACAUAAAUUUUGAUAUUUCAGCUGCAGAUUUUUUCAAAUAUACAAUGACCUGAGGCCAGGAAAGUUACCUUGUCAAUUUAUUUUCUUAUAAUUUGCAUGUCUUAUAAAAGUAGACUACAGCAGGCAUGGACAAAAACAGAACAAAAGUCUAACUGAUUGAAAGCUUAUUCCAUAGAGAAGACAUUGGGUUCUAGAGACUUACAGGCUAUGCUUGUAGUUUCUCAUAUUUACCUUCCUUUUGUUGGAAAAUAUAGCAGAAAAUAGAGUGGAGGAGGGUGAGAAGGUGAGGUUAUUUGUGUGAAGAAUGGUUAGGAUCAGUUUGUUUACCUCCUCCCCAUCCGUACCACUUUUUGGAACAGUUAUCUGUAAAUAUAAGGAUAAAGUAGUCUGAACCUGGGUACAGAAGAGGAGAACACUAACAAGACAGGCAUCUGAUGGUAAUACCAACAGCUUUUUCCCCAAACCUAAGUUACAACUUUAGUGAUCAUUAUGUUCUAAUUGUUAUAGAAAAAUAAAAUGUGAA